GGGUCAGGCUGCGCUGGGGGGCCUGCUGGGAAGGCUGGAGCUAUUGGAGGAGGCCUCUCAGAGGGGGGCUCAGCUGACCUGUAAGGAUGCGCCAUCCAGUAAAGGUCAAGGCAGAUGGCAAACUGAUUCUCGCCAUCAGGCCUGUGCUGAAAAGCCGCAAACCAUUCCAUCAGGCAUUGUGUCCAGGGGCUGGUGCCGGAAGACACAGAAACCCUUCAUCUAGAAAUUAGGAUCAGGCUUGCUCCAGAAAGAAGCCUGUUUCUGGGGGCAAAUAGGUGGGAAAUGCCACGUGAUCUGUUUUACUUUCCACUCCAAUUUCGGAUUGGAGCACAUGUCCUAGGCUAUCUCCCUGGGGACCUGCUGGCAAGGCCCCACUCAGACGUGGGAGAAACCCACUCACUUAGGUGCAGACACCUGCCAAGGCCCAUCUCAGCACAUCCUGCUGGGGUACCCCUACUGUGUGCGCAGCACAGUCCUGGGAGACGGGCUCAAGUCCACUGAACAGCCCCUUGGGCCCCGCUGGGGCUGUCCUGCGUCUCCAUUACAUUGUGCUUAUGAGACGUGCUGGUUUGCUAAACGUCCAUAUUCUCACGCUUCUGUUCUCACUAUCCUCAGAUAUAAAGUGGGGCCAGAGCACAGCAAAGCAGUUCAGCCCCACCCGCCCAGUACCGAUGGCAGAGCUGUGGGAGUGCCCGGCAGCUGCAGGGGCCCCUCGAUGCAGCCUUCCCUUCUGCCCGCCCAGCGCCCUCCCCUGCCUGUGACUGGGAGAGCGAGGGGCUCGCCCGCAGUCCCACGGCUGCCCUGGCCCAGCUCCCCUUGGGGCCUUGCUUGGGUGAGCUGCCACCCUGCUUGUGUUUAUGAGCCUGGGGCUGCCAGGGGCCCUUAGCCUCCACCCGCAGGGGGCCUGCCUGGAACAAAGUGGAGCUGGAUGUGGGAAAAAACAGUUUCUGAUGACAGAGCUUCAGGUUCUGGACCCGCUCUGAUUGGAGGCCCUCCUGUCUGCCGUGAGCCAGUAAACUCCCCUUCUGAGCUGGGAUGGUCUCCCCACAGCACCACGCCACCUCGGACCCGGAGCUGAGGCCGGCCCUCCCCCGGGGGUCUAGCUCAGGCCUCCUCUCAAGGCAGCGUCCAGCACAGGUGACGAGAUGCUGCUCAAGACACGCAGUGCUGGCCCUCCCGCGCGUGAGUCCGAGAGCAGCUGGGACAGAGGGGCCAAGUACAGAGGCCACGUUCUGCGUGCUCCCACUUACGGAAGCUUCUGGAAAAGAUGGGUCUAACCCCUGGUGGUGGAGAACAGACCAGCGCUGGACUGGAGCCAGGACCCCGGGCUUCAAGGGCUCAGGGGCUGUAAUGCCGCCCAUUGAGGAGGCAGAGCAGGGGUGGCUGGUGACCGUGGGCCCAGGGAAGGGAGCGCAGGAACGCCUCUGUGCGUCCUGGGUGGAGGGGCAUGGGGCCCGCCAAGGAGACCCCACACAAACCUUGGCUUGACCACCUCACUCGGAGCCUCACCUCAGGCCCGCCAUCCGGGGUCCAAGCAGCCUCUCCCCUGCCUGCACCAGCCUGCAGGAGGCCACCACCCCAAACGUGGCAGUGUGGGGAGUCGGUGGGCUGGGGUGGGGCCCGUGGGUGUGGAUAUCUGAGCGUGGGCAUGAGGCGGGUGUGCACACGUGUCCCCAGCCGUGAGCCUGGGGACGUGGGACAGAACCAGACCCGCCGUGGGACCCAGGGAAGCCCACCGGGACUCUUGCUGGCACCUAAGGCUGUUCUCAUUGCCCUGGGAAGUCUUGGGCGGUGGGAGAGGGUCUCCAGAGGUAUGGGAGCCCGGACAAACCAGGCUGAGACUGAACACAAGCACCCCACCUUCCCGGGGGCUGUUAAACAGCAGGGGGGGCCCUCCUGCGCUGGCCCGCCUGCCCCCGCCCCGCACCACCCGCCCCUCUCACGCAGCGGGGCUUGGGGCUGGCUGCUGGGAGAGCAGCUCGGUGUUGUUGGACAGAGGGAGGAAGACUUCCUUUCAGAUGAACAUUUCCUUUUUUUUAGGAAAAUGUAAGGGGCAUUUCAGGGCCACCUUGUAGGAAAGGAAUGUUCAGGCAGGAGCUGGGGCCAGGAUUUCCGUCCAAAAGCCACAGGCCCUCAGCCUCUGAGGCCUGAGACCCCGAGCCCCAACCAGACGUCACUGGUACCACUGGACACAGGCCUGGAAGAUGGGGAGGCUGGGGGUGGGGGCGCCCUCAUCCGCUGUGGGCACCAGGUCCCUGAUUGAGAGGAAACCCCUCCCAAAGUUGCCGGGUCCUUGGCCUCCGUAGGGGCAGGUGGUGCACCCCCAGACCUGACGCGUCAUUUCCUGUCUUCUUCAAGAGCCGCCAAAGCCCCUGAGGUUGCAGCUUCUGCCCAGAGACCUGGAGGCAGAGUUCCCGACACUGCCAGCCCCUGACUCCCGUGCAGGGUCUUGGGGGGCACACGGCCCUCACCAAUAUUCUCCAGCUUUCAGGGCAAAUGUGCCUGAGGACAGGCCUGGCGGGCACACGGGGCAUGAGGCUGGAAUGGGGGCCCCAUCCAAGGGUCCCAAGCCGAGUGUCAGGGACAAGCAGCACCAUGUGGACACGCGGCAGGCACCCUGGCCUGCAAGGCCUGAGGAGGGUGGUGCUCGGGCCAGGGGGCCACAUGAGGCUGCAUGGCUGCAGGGGGCAGGGGAGGCCUGUAUCUUGAGCUCCUGGGGAAGUUGGAAUGUUCUGGGGAUCCAUCAACAUCCCCAACAGGCCUCAGGGGCAAUCACGGUAGGAAACCACUGCGGGAGGGAGCCCGCAGUGGAGGGGCCGGCGCAGCUCAGGGGCCGUGCCCACAGUCAGGGCACAGAGCACACGUCAUCCCGGGACUGACAGCCGAGGGUAAGCAGGGCAGCUCCAGCACAGGGAGGGCCAGGGCUGCCCCUGCAGGGCCCCCGAGCAUGGGGCUCAGGGUCGGCCCCCGCUGCCACCCCGGCCGCUGCGUCAGGUGCCACCAGGAGCAUUCAGACCCUCUCCCAGGGGGAAGUAAAGAUGGAGCCGGAGCUGGGGAAACACAAAGGCUCCUCCCCAGCAUGGGGCCCUGCCCCCCACCUGCCCCUCUGCCCCAGGACCCCAAGGCAAGAUGGUCAGGUGCCCGCACAGCUAAAACUCAGAGACCACGAGCAGGACCACAGAAGUGGCUGACUGAGUGCUCCAUGCUCAGCCCGGCCAAGGGCCCUAGUGGAGGAGGCAGGCUGGGGACACAGCCAAGAUAGAGCGGGGCUGCUGUGUGACUGCGGGCAGGAGCCCCACCCUCCCCGAUCUCCCUGAUGCCCAAGCACUCGGCGGGCAGCCGCACGCAGCCCUGCUGAACACAGACCCUGGACUGUCAUGAGCAGACGGGGGUGUAAGGCAAGAGGAAGUGUGGUUCCCCACCUCGAGCCCUUGACCCUACACCACACCCCGCUUCCUGGGCCCUGGGAGCGGCCUUUGCCUAGCUGGGUGCUGGUUCCCAGUGAACACCUGCUCCGGAGAUGGGGCGUCAGGCCUGAAGCCAUAUGGCGGCCGUGGUGAGGAGCCUCGGCAGCUCCACCCCAAACCUCAUGACCCAGACGUCAGCCAGGACCCAGGAUGGAACCUCUCCGCACUGCAGAGAAGACGCAGCACAUGCCCAGCAGCUUGGGCCUGGGCGCAGGCUCUGCCCUGCCACCAGCCCCUUAUUUUGCACAUCUGCCAGGUGGGCCGGGCCCCUUCGUGCUGCCCCCUGCACAGUGAAGGUGUGGAUGGGCCAUGGGUGGGUGAGGGGUUUCCCUGGGGCCUCCCCUCAUCUGUCCCCCAAACAUCUACUAACCAGCUAAUAACAGCAACAAAACAGA
Long non-coding RNA from Manis pentadactyla (Chinese pangolin), 3862 nucleotides. RefSeq lists it as uncharacterized. The transcript has 2 exons. Lineage: Eukaryota; Metazoa; Chordata; Mammalia; Pholidota; Manidae. The record is from RefSeq and is a predicted model, not a curated record.